RNAcentral lists this long non-coding RNA (627 nucleotides) under Salmo salar (Atlantic salmon). RNAcentral's name for it is "lncRNA (ENSSSAG00000086929.1, ENSSSAG00000089099.1, ENSSSAG00020080269.1, ENSSSAG00075010020.1)". Lineage: Eukaryota; Metazoa; Chordata; Actinopteri; Salmoniformes; Salmonidae. The record is from RNAcentral.
UGAAAAACGGUAUUGCAUUUGGUAAGUGGUCGAUCUGAGAACAAUGAGACGGGGGCGCGCAUGCAAAAGAUGACUCCAUUUUCAACUUUGAGUCUUUGAACGAAAACAUGGUUUCCCGGUCGGAAUAGUAUCGCUAUUUUACGAGAAAAAUCGCAUAAAAAUUUAUUUUAAACAGAGUUUGACAUGCUUCGAAGUACGGUAAUGGAAUAUUUUGAAAAUUUUUGUCACGAUACGCGUCCGCGCGUCACCAUUCGGAUAGUGUCUUGAACGCAAGAACAAAACAGAGGAUAUUUGAACAUAACUAUGGAUUAUUUUGAACCAAAACAACAUUUGUGGAUGAAGUAGAAGUCCUGGGAGUGCAUUCUGACGAAGAACAGCAAAGGUGACAUAAACUGAGACAACCACCUGACCAAGUCCUAAAGCAAUGGGACUCGAUUAUUACCAAUCCCACAAGGUAUGACUCCAACCACCCAGAAAAGGCUACGCUCCUUGAUGUUGUCCUCACAAAUAAUCCUGAAAGGAAUGAUCAAGCAGGGAGGCAAAGGUGGUCCAAACAUAGGGGUCCAUCAUCCAACUCAGCUGACUCCGUGGCUGUGAAGAUGAGUCAUGAUGACUGCUCAUGGAAAG